CUUCCCUGUCCUUUCCUCAUAUCUAUCGGAUAAAUCUUUCGCCUUUUACUAAAGAUUUCCGUGGCGGGGGGGACUAAAGAGGGAAUAAAAUAAAAUUUUUUGUGACUGAUUUAAAUUAGAA
This 121-nucleotide small nuclear RNA is filed under the name Conidiobolus coronatus NRRL 28638. Its description in RNAcentral is "U5 spliceosomal RNA". It matches the Rfam family "U5 spliceosomal RNA". From Rfam's summary of the family: U5 RNA is a component of both types of known spliceosome. The precise function of this molecule is unknown, though it is known that the 5' loop is required for splice site selection and p220 binding, and that both the 3' stem-loop and the Sm site are important for Sm protein binding and cap methylation. Lineage: Eukaryota; Fungi; Entomophthoromycota; Entomophthoromycetes; Entomophthorales; Conidiobolaceae. The record is from Rfam by way of RNAcentral.